RNAcentral lists this ribosomal RNA (486 nucleotides) under uncultured bacterium. RNAcentral describes it as "bacterial SSU rRNA". It matches the Rfam family "Bacterial small subunit ribosomal RNA", at positions 28 to 507 of the family's 1533-position model. The record is from RNAcentral.
GAUGAACGCUAGCGGCAGGCCUAACACAUGCAAGUCAGGGGCAUCACGGAUUGCUUGCAAUCUGGUGGCGACCGGCGCACGGGUGCGUAACGCGUAUACAACCUACCUUUUGGAGGGGAAUAGCCCAGAGAAAUUUGGAUUAAUACCCCAUAGUAUAUAGGAAUCUCCUGAUUUUAUAUUAAACAUUUAUGGCCAUUAGAUGGGUAUGCGUCCUAUUAGCUAGUUGGUGUGGUAACGGCACACCAAGGCUACGAUAGGUAGGGGUCCUGAGAGGGAGAUCCCCACACUGGUACUGAGACACGGACCAGACUCCUACGGGAGGCAGCAGUGAGGAAUAUUGGACAAUGGGCGAGAGCCUGAUCCAGCCAUGCCGCGUGCAGGAAGACUGCCCUAUGGGUUAGUAAACUGUCUUUUACAGAGGAAGAACCCACCCCCACGUGUGGGGGUUUGACGGUACUCUGCGAAUAAGGAUCGGCUAACUCCGUG